This is a long non-coding RNA of Capsicum annuum, 2222 nucleotides long. RefSeq lists it as uncharacterized. The record is from RefSeq and is a predicted model, not a curated record. NCBI's taxonomy places the organism in Eukaryota, Viridiplantae, Streptophyta, Magnoliopsida, Solanales, Solanaceae. The transcript is spliced from 2 exons.
UUAAGUAAUAAAACCCUUUCGAACUUAAAAAUAUACCAUUUUUUGGAGUACGUUAAAAAGGGGGUAUGACAUUGAUCAAAGAUGAAGCCUCUGAAAGAUCAGAAUCAACAAGAGUUAAUGCUAGACUUUUCGUAUCAAGAUAUAUAUAUAUUUUCUUCUAAUACAUUAAACAUUAGAUAUAUACCUUUGUUUGCUGUAUCUUUUGGCUUUAAAGUUGAAAGAAUAAUCAAUGACAUACUUUGCCGUCACAGAAAUUAAUGUUUUUCUGUCCUUAUGUAUUUGACCUUCCUUAACAUCUGAAUUCUUUUAAUCUGAAAUUAUUUUGUUCAUCGUAAUGUCGAUCAAAGACGAAGGUUUUGAAAUAUCAGAAUCAACAAGAGCUAAUGCUAGACUUUCCGUAUUAGUAGACUCUAAACACAUAACUGGCCCAGUUUCAUCCUCAAACAACAUCUUUGUUUCAUCUUUAUCGAUUGUACUUAUGCAUAGUGGAUACAUCCCGAAACUUGGAAUACUUUUCUUAACUUCGAUAUAUAGCUUCACCCCCAUAUCAUUACGAAUCAACAAUGGAGUUGAAUAGUUUCACCCUCAAACAUCUUCGUUUCAUCUUUAUCGAUUGUACUUAUGCAUAGUGGAUACAUCGCGAAACUUGGAAUACUUUUCUUAACUUUGAUAUAUAGCUUCACCCCCAUAUCAUUACGAAUCAACAAUGAAGCUGAAUUACCAUCAACAAUGUAUCGAGCUUCAAUUUUUUUCCUUUUUUCAUCAAUUUCAAGUAUUGCUGCAAUGACAGAAAUCAUUUUUUCGUACGUUACAUGUUCACCUAUUAUAGUGCCAUCACUCUUAUAUCCUUUGUACUUGACAUCAUCAACUCAAAUACCGAAAUGUCGUAAUCCACCGAUAUAUUCAUUGCAAAUUAUUGAAAAAUAAAAAAUUACAGUAAAUAAAAAAGAGAAAAACUAAGAAGAAUGACUUUGGAUGUUGAAUAUGGAGAUGAAUAUUUUUUUAAGAAAAAGCAUUAUUAACGAAAUUAUCUUUUUGGGAUAUUUAACUGUUAAUUAGAAGAUAUGAAGAGUUAAUUGUUUCUUAAUUUUGUUAAUUUUCAUAAUUAUGGCACAGUUGUUAAUUAAUAGGAUGUAUUAUUAAAUUUGUAUUUUUUUUAAUAUUAUGCAUCAGGAAAACUUAAAAUCGAGAUUUUACGGAAUUUUAAAAAAAAUCGAGAUGGGAUGUAAUUGUGGCUGAAGUAGACUAGAGCUAAGUUUUACUUAACAAAUAAAGACCAAAUUCGACUUUCGACCCAACGUCUGCGUAAUAUUUCUUGCCAAAAUCUCUCUGCGGUCUUCUCUUCUCCUCCAUCUCGGCGAUCUCCUGUCGGAAUCGAACUAAUUUGUUCUGGUUUCUGGUGAUUUCAUGGGAGAAUGGGUGGAGACUCCCAAAUGUUGGAAAUGGAGAUCAUUUAUCAAGGUGACAAUUCUCAUUCCUGUUCCCCGCAACAGUUUGUACGAUGAAUUCGUUGUAAGCGUAAUGCAGAGCGAGGAUCUAGAUUGCGCGCCGAGCAACGUGGUGAUUAGUUAUCUAAUGCAUUUGAGGGAAAAAGUGAAUCCUACGAUCAUAAAUAAUGAUGUACGUGUGCUAACGUACAUAAUGGAUGCCGAUGCAGAUGGCUUUAGGCCUAUUUUGAGGAUAAAUGUGGUUGAGAGGUCCUUUGAAGGACCGCUGAAUUCAUCACCACCCCCACCUCGGCGCCCGGUAGUUGACGACGAUUUGAAUGAUUACGAGAACGAUGGCGAUCAUCCAAUUAAUAUGGAAGAUGAUUCUAUGCAUAUGGAAGAUGAUAAAUAAGACUGUGGAAUAAGAUCACAACCAGGACACUCAUUCACCGAUGGAACCAAUUUCUAUUGUAGUCAAACAUUCGCCGAUAAGAAAGAGCUGAAAAUGCUACUAGACGCAGCAGCGGCGAGGUAGUCUUUUGAUUAUUAUAUGGAGAAGAGUUGCAUCAAAUUCAUGAAAGCGAAAUGCUUAUCUCGUGGUUGUGGUUGGUUGUUGCGGGAAAAAAAGUACGACACCUUGCAGAAGAAGCUUUCUUGGUAGGAUUGUUGUUAGAAGAAAGCUUCUUCGUUUUUUGCUUAUUUUGGUUGUUCUGGCCGCUGUGCCAAUAUUUUCCAUGUAAAAUUUCUAUUAUUGUGCAAUGAACAAAUUUUAAUAUAAGUAUUUCUAUUUUCAAA